UCAAAUUCUUGGGGGUCAUCUGGUUGGGUAAGACUAAAGUUAUACCAGAAGCAGUCAGAUAAAGUCCAGGCUUUUCCUACCCCUACAACUGUGGUACUGUUGCAUGUUUGGGGGUCUUUUUGGCUACUGGAGAGAGUUUAUCCCACACUUGGCACAAAUUCUGAAGUCUUUAUACUGUUUGGUACAAAAGAGCAUCGGGUGGGACUGAGAUGAGACAUGUGCAUCUGCCUUUACUACAGCAAACUGGGCAUUCAAGUCCGUGCAUUCAAGUCCAUCAAGGCCCUGUGAGCUGGAUGUCCAUGCAACUGAAGAUGGUUAUGGCUGGAGUCUCUGGCAACAGCUUGAAAGAACUUGACAACCUAUUGGAUUCUGGCCACAACUGGAAAGGAGCAGAGGAGUUUGGUUUGAAACCCAGGUGAACUUCAAAAUUGACCCCAAACAUGGAGGGGAAGGAGGGACAAAAGGGACAGAGCACUCAGAUUGUUGUAGGUUCACUUAUGACACCUGAGGUACAGCUCCUAAGUGAAAUGAUGAAGAAUGUCAGAGUUUUAGGUCCUCCCUCCCAUCUUCAUCGAUUAAAAUUGAUUUCAUUUUUGAAUAUCCAUAUUAAAAAGUUUCUAAAGGAUAAAGCUAUGUGACAACUAUAUGAAACUAUGUUAAAAAUAUAUGAUAGAA
Long non-coding RNA from Manis javanica (Malayan pangolin), 675 nucleotides. RefSeq lists it as uncharacterized. The record is from RefSeq and is a predicted model, not a curated record. Lineage: Eukaryota; Metazoa; Chordata; Mammalia; Pholidota; Manidae.